GUGAAAGAGGGGGAUCGCAAGACCUCUCACUAUUGGAGCGGCCGAUGUCGGAUUAGCUAGUAGGUGGGGUAAAAGCCUACCAAGGAA
This 87-nucleotide ribosomal RNA is filed under the name uncultured bacterium. RNAcentral describes it as "partial 16S ribosomal RNA". The record is from RNAcentral.